UGAAAAUAGUAUUCUCUCACGACUCUGGUCUUUGUUCCAAGAAAAUGCUGAGAACUCGGUUGCUCUGGUUCGCAAUGGGAUUUUCUGUGUCGGCAGCUGCAAUCGGCCACUUCGUUUGGAGAGAUCUUUUGGCUGAGAGAUACACCCUUCCAUAUCAAAUGCAGCAGGCUUUUGAUUCCCUUGAAGUUAGAGUCUCGAAUCUCGAGUCUGGCUCUCCCAUGAACUCGAAUCCGCCUCAGGUUGAAGGUUAGAUCUUACAUGUAGCUGAAAUGACUCGAUGAUAGUUCAAAUAGAGGCCGUUGCUCAGGCCAUUUGAGUUUCUGUCGUUAUAUUGGGGCAGUAUGUAUAAUUGAAGUCAUAUGCUUGUCAAGGAGUUGCCUUCAAAAAACCAUAAGCCCCUUGGGUUUUCAGAAAUUUUCCAUAGUUGAAUAAAAGAUUCUCUUAUUUUA
Manihot esculenta (cassava) is the source of this 449-nucleotide long non-coding RNA. RefSeq lists it as uncharacterized. The transcript is spliced from 3 exons. Lineage: Eukaryota; Viridiplantae; Streptophyta; Magnoliopsida; Malpighiales; Euphorbiaceae. The record is from RefSeq and is a predicted model, not a curated record.